Molecule: ribosomal RNA, 252 nt
Filed under: uncultured bacterium
Lineage: Bacteria
Description: partial 16S ribosomal RNA
Rfam family: Bacterial small subunit ribosomal RNA
Source: RNAcentral
UACGUAGGGUGCGAGCGUUAAUCGGAAUUACUGGGCGUAAAGAGCUCGUAGGCGGUUUGUCGCGUCGGAUGUGAAAGCCCGGGGCUUAACCCCGGGUCUGCAUUCGAUACGGGCAGACUAGAGUGUGGUAGGGGAGAUCGGAAUUCCUGGUGUAGCGGUGAAAUGCGCAGAUAUCAGGAGGAACCCCGGUGGCGAAGGCGGAUCUCUGGGCCAUUACUGACGCUGAGGAGCGAAAGCGUGGGGAGCGACAGG